Long non-coding RNA from Salvia hispanica, 613 nucleotides. RefSeq lists it as uncharacterized. The record is from RefSeq and is a predicted model, not a curated record. NCBI's taxonomy places the organism in Eukaryota, Viridiplantae, Streptophyta, Magnoliopsida, Lamiales, Lamiaceae.
UACAGAUUUUUCUAUCAGAUGAGACGAAUCCGGAGACGAACUAUGGCGAUUCACCGAGCUGAUAUACCUUCUGAACAUGCAUUUGGUAUCUCAGCAGGAUUUUCCGCGAGUAAUCGUAACUUUUUGGAGCCUUGUGCACAGGAAGAAGACUAUAAAAAAUGGCAGACCAGAGACCCCUUUUUCCUGCCUAGCUAAUGGCCAUCAUUAGCCAUCCACUAAGCAUGAUUAAGUAGGUCGGAAAAUGACUUGAAGAGGAGUGUGGAUCCUUGAGGAGAUCCUUGGAAAGGGAUUUGACACGACUGACACAGUGCCACUUUUGCAUUUCUCACCAAAUUGCUAAUCAUCGCCCACUUUUAUCUCAAGGUAAUCUUAAACUAAGGAUCUAUCUCUCUUUUCCUGUAUUUGAUCAAUUAUGUUGUGUAUUAAAUUUAUUACUAACUAUGUAUUCACAUAGUACAUAUUUAGGUGACUAUCCAUCAAAAAUGAAAUAGCUAACAUCAUUUCAAUUCAUUAGAUCAUUUGGUUUGAUAGAUGAUAUAUGGUAGAUUAAAUAAAUAACACAAUUUUAAGGUGAUAAAUAUUCAUAUGAUUGCAAGAUUAGAGUGCGAGACGC